This 77-nucleotide transfer RNA is filed under the name Patescibacteria group bacterium. RNAcentral's name for it is "tRNA-Met". It matches the Rfam family "tRNA". Rfam says of the family: Transfer RNA (tRNA) molecules are approximately 80 nucleotides in length. The record is from RNAcentral.
GCCAGCGAAGCAGAAGUGGAUAUUGCGCGGCACUCAUAACGCCGUUGUAGUUGGUUCGAGUCCAACCGUUGGCACCA